GACGAACGCUGGCGGCAUGCCUAACACAUGCAAGUCGAACGGAACUUGUUGAAUGAAGUUUUCGGAUGGAUUUUGAUAAGUUUAGUGGCGGACGGGUGAGUAACGCGUGAGCAACCUGCCUUUCAGAGGGGGACAACAGUUGGAAACGACUGCUAAUACCGCAUAACGUAUUUCGGAGGCAUCUCUGGAAUACCAAAGAUUAUAUCGCUGAAAGAUGGGCUCGCGUACGAUUAGAUAGUUGGUGAGGUAACGGCUCACCAAGUCGACGAUCGUUAGCCGGACUGAGAGGUUGAACGGCCACAUUGGGACUGAGACACGGCCCAG
Molecule: ribosomal RNA, 324 nt
Filed under: uncultured bacterium
Lineage: Bacteria
Description: bacterial SSU rRNA
Rfam family: Bacterial small subunit ribosomal RNA
Source: RNAcentral